RNAcentral lists this transfer RNA (77 nucleotides) under Rhodospirillaceae bacterium. RNAcentral's name for it is "tRNA-Pro". It matches the Rfam family "tRNA". Rfam says of the family: Transfer RNA (tRNA) molecules are approximately 80 nucleotides in length. Their secondary structure includes four short double-helical elements and three loops (D, anti-codon, and T loops). Further hydrogen bonds mediate the characteristic L-shaped molecular structure. tRNAs have two regions of fundamental functional importance: the anti-codon, which is responsible for specific mRNA codon recognition, and the 3' end, to which the tRNAs corresponding amino acid is attached (by aminoacyl-tRNA synthetases). tRNAs cope with the degeneracy of the genetic code in two manners: having more than one tRNA (with a specific anti-codon) for a particular amino acid; and 'wobble' base-pairing, i.e. permitting non-standard base-pairing at the 3rd anti-codon position. RNAcentral also lists the same sequence under 3 other names. Lineage: Bacteria; Pseudomonadati; Pseudomonadota; Alphaproteobacteria; Rhodospirillales; Rhodospirillaceae. The record is from RNAcentral.
CGGGGCGUAGCUCAGCCUGGUAGAGCGCUUGCUUCGGGAGCAAGAGGCCGGAGGUUCGAAUCCUCUCGCCCCGACCA